GACGAACGCUGGCGGCGUGCUUAACACAUGCAAGUCGAACGGAAAGGCCCUGCUUUUGUGGGGUGCUCGAGUGGCGAACGGGUGAGUAACACGUGAGUAACCUGCCCUUGACUUUGGGAUAACUUCAGGAAACUGGGGCUAAUACCGGAUAGGAGCUCCUGCUGCAUGGGGGUGGUUGGAAAGUUUCGGCGGUUGGGGAUGGACUCGCGGCUUAUCAGCUUGUUGGUGGGGUAGUGGCUUACCACGGCUUUGACGGGUAGCCGGCCUGAGAGGGUGACCGGCCACAUUGGGACUGAGAUACGGCCCAGACUCCUACGGGAGGCAGCAGUGGGGAAUAUUGCACAAUGGGCGGAAGCCUGAUGCAGCAACGCCGCGUGCGGGAUGACGGCCUUCGGGUUGUAAACCGCUUUCGCCUGUGACGAAGCGUGAGUGACGGUAAUGGGUAAAGAAGCACCGGCUAACUACGUG
This 468-nucleotide ribosomal RNA is filed under the name uncultured bacterium. RNAcentral's name for it is "partial 16S ribosomal RNA". It matches the Rfam family "Bacterial small subunit ribosomal RNA", at positions 28 to 507 of the family's 1533-position model. The record is from RNAcentral.